This is a long non-coding RNA of Apteryx owenii (little spotted kiwi), 2010 nucleotides long. Lineage: Eukaryota; Metazoa; Chordata; Aves; Apterygiformes; Apterygidae. The record is from Ensembl.
GGAGCUAACUGGCUUAUCCUAAACAGGACAGUAGAAGCCAGCUACCACGGAUGAGGAGCAGGAGCCUGGAACAAAAUAAGGAAUAAGCCAAACUGACAGCCAAAUGGUUGAAUACUCGUUCACGCAAGGCAGCUGCACUGGUUUCCACCCUACAUAUACCAGGCCUUUUAUUGACUUGACUUCAGUGAUAAAGCAGAUGGCCUCAGGUCUACAGUGGCUCCAAUGCAGAACAGACAGCAUAUUUAUCAGCUACAGUUAAUGCAGCAGGUGUACCUGUCUUUUCUGUACUUCUUCUCAGUGUUUAUGUAGCUGAGCAGAAGUUCAAAAUUUUUAUAUGCAAGCUCCAACUCUCCCUGGCUAAACAGUGACCCAACUUUUCUUAUUGUUCUCCCUCUUAAUUUUACAUGCACUUUGUGCAGACCCUGCUAUGGAGAACAGUUUUACUUUCCACAUGUUAGUUCUCCUAGAAUGCAUUCAAAGAAUCAAUUCUCAUUUGUUAAAUUGUUAUUUAGCUUGUAUCUGGUAACAACAUUUGGUAUUGUUACUGUAACAAUUCAUUGUAUUGUUAUCUGGCUCUGCUGAAUUUUGUGCUCAUUUAGGUUUGAUUUUAAUUCAUAAAAUUGCUAUUAUAGGUGACUUUCAUACAUUUCAACAGCUGGAAAGGCAAGAAGCCAAGACAGGAGGCUUGGCUGAUAGUCAUGUGCCACUAGGAAGGUUAUGCCCUGUCCUCCCAGCUGCCAGCACAAUCCCAUCUCCACAUUCGUCUUCCUCCAUUUUCACUGUCCACAGCAAGGAAACAAGUUGUCAGCAUUACAAUCAAAACAGCAUUUUUGCUUUUUCUUGCUAAAAAAAGGACUCUAAAAAAGGCAGUGGACAGUUCUGCCCUAUCUACAGCAACGCUUGAAAUUCUACAGCCCUUCUGAGAUACCCAGGACUGUGCCUUCCUACCACCCAGCAACCCUUAAGCUAAACUUGCCCUCUCCACUCUCUUCUAACAUAGAGAACCACUGUUGCUCUUCCUAUACAAACAUACCAGAGGCACAUCUACGCCAGGACAUGCUGUACACUGAGCCCAUGUGCUGCAGCAGUCCAGCCCGCCACAGCACGCAGCUCAGCGUUGGGUAAGCUGCUGUUCGAAGCCUGGCGGUCUGCAGCAUAGAUGUCCCUGAAGUUUCCAGGGUCACAGAGGAAGUUUCUUCUAAGUUCAUUUCCCAUUUUCUUGCCAAUGACAAAAUCCCCCCUCUCUUAAAUCUUUGGCUAAAUCCUAAAACAGGAACCUCUGGACUGAGAGGACAGCCUGGCCAGCAAAAUGGGAGAGGCAAGUUGCUCCUCUCUCAGCAACAAAAACAAUUCAAGAGAAAACCCGCAUGAAAAACCUUUCAGCGAUUUAUUACAUCUUUUCCCAAGGGAUAGACUUGACUGAGUCCUUAUUUAUUAGGCAGCUUUGAGAAAUAUUCUAAUGCUGUUUUCAAAACAAGUCAAGAUCUAAUAGUUUCAAGAACCCUUACUGUAUUUAAUGUAUAGUUUGUAGUUUAUAUUGAAAUCUCUGAUUAUGCAUAUGCUUUCUAUUAUGCUAGCUGAUGGUAUUGCAUUGAGUAGUGCUGAAUAACUCAGCAGAUUUAGCAAGAGUCAAGUGUAAAUCAGUCAGAUACAGUAACACGAUACCCAUGCUGCCUUUAAACUAUUAAAAAUAUGUGGAAACUUUAUUUUGAAAAGGAAUACAUUCCGUUUUCCACAGGUCCUCCUCAACUGUGAGACGUUGCAUUUUGUUUUCUUGACUGUACAAAGAGAUUUAAUUAAACAAUAAGCUAGUUACAGUGGCAGAAGUAAAAAAGCCUUUGGAGUGUUAUGUUUCCUUUAUUAGCAUAGUGAUGUGAAGCUAAACAGAAAAAGCAAUCUAAUAACAAACAUUCCUUUGAGAACGGCUCAGGGAGCAAAAGGACAUCCACUUAUUGUUCAGCCCAUCCCAUUGGUCCAUAUAUGGCAAUAAAGGUACAAUAGAAGGAAACA